This 497-nucleotide ribosomal RNA is filed under the name uncultured bacterium. RNAcentral's name for it is "partial 16S ribosomal RNA". It matches the Rfam family "Bacterial small subunit ribosomal RNA", at positions 28 to 507 of the family's 1533-position model. The record is from RNAcentral.
GAUGAACGCUGGCGGCGUGCCUAAUACAUGCAAGUCGAGCGAACAGACGAGGAGCUUGCUCCUUUGACGUUAGCGGCGGACGGGUGAGUAACACGUAGGUAACCUACCUAUAAGACUGGGAUAACUUCGGGAAACCGGAGCUAAUACCGGAUAAUAUUUCGAACCGCAUGGUUCGAUAGUGAAAGAUGGCUUUGCUAUCACUUAUAGAUGGACCUGCGCCGCAUUAGCUAGUUGGUAAGGUAACGGCUUACCAAGGCAACGAUACGUAGCCGACCUGAGAGGGUGAUCGGCCACACUGGAACUGAGACACGGUCCAGACUCCUACGGGAGGCAGCAGUAGGGAAUCUUCCGCAAUGGGCGAAAGCCUGACGGAGCAACGCCGCGUGAGUGAUGAAGGUCUUCGGAUCGUAAAACUCUGUUAUUAGGGAAGAACAAACGUGUAAGUAACUGUGCACGUCUUGACGGUACCUAAUCAGAAAGCCACGGCUAACUACGCG